GACGAACGCUGGCGGCGUGCUUAACACAUGCAAGUCGAACGCUGAAGCUCAGCUUUUGUUGGGUGGAUGAGUGGCGAACGGGUGAGUAACACGUGAGUAACCUGCCUCCUUCUUUGGGAUAACGCCCGGAAACGGGUGCUAAUACUGGAUAUUCACUGGUCUUCGCAUGGGGGUUGGUGGAAAGGGUUUUUCUGGUGGGGGAUGGGCUCGCGGCCUAUCAGCUUGUUGGUGGGGUGAUGGCCUACCAAUGCUUUGACGGGUAGCCGGCCUGAGAGGGUGACCGGUGACAUCGGGACUGAGGUACGGCCCACACUCCGACGGGUGGAAGCAGUGGGGCGUAUUGCACGAUGGGGGCAAGUAUGAUGCUACGACGCCGCGGGAGGGAUGGAGGAUUUCGGGUUGGGAACCUCUUUCGCACAUGGUCAAGCCGCAACAAUGGUUGUUGUGAGGGUAGUGGGUAAAGAAGCGCCGGCUAACUACGUG
Molecule: ribosomal RNA, 483 nt
Filed under: uncultured bacterium
Lineage: Bacteria
Description: partial 16S ribosomal RNA
Rfam family: Bacterial small subunit ribosomal RNA
Source: RNAcentral